AGUAUUUAUUUCAAAGUGCCUGCAGCGUUUUAUCACCGUGUGGACAUUAGUGGAGUUAAAUAUCUGCUCAGAGGAUUCUAUAACCAACACAGAUUAUGAAUUAGAUUAUUAGGGACAGAUGCCCACUCUGCAUGCUGGUGAAACAUGUCACAUGACGCAUGGUGCCUCAGUGUUGCACUCUUAAGUAGCCUGCCAACUGCAGAGGGGGACAGAGAGGCUUCCUUCUUCUCUGGACUCACCUCCAUGCCAAAGCAGCGGCUCCUCAUUGACCUCUACGCCGCCUCCUAUGCCUCUUACACCUCCUGCUGAGCCGGACCCGGAACCGAAGAUGAACUGGGCGUCGUUUUAUGCCGUCAUCAGCGGUGUGAACAGACACUCCACAGGCAUCGGCCGUAUCUGGCUCUCUGUUCUCUUCAUUUUCCGCAUCCUGGUUCUGGUGGUGGCGGCGGAGAGCGUUUGGGGCGACGAGAAGUCCGGCUUCACCUGCAACACGCAGCAGCCGGGCUGCAACAGCGUCUGCUACGACCACUUCUUCCCCAUCUCACACAUCCGCCUCUGGGCGCUGCAGCUCAUCCUGGUGUCCACGCCCGCCCUGCUGGUGGCCAUGCACGUGGCCCACCGCCGCCACGUCGACAAGAGGCUCUACAAACUCUCAGGGCGCACCAACCCCAAAGACCUGGAGCAGAUUAAGACCCAGAAGAUGAAGAUCACAGGGGCUCUGUGGUGGACGUACGUCAUCAGCCUGCUGUUCCGGAUCGUCUUCGAGGUCACCUUCAUGUAUCUGUUUUAUAUGAUCUACCCCGGGUACAAGAUGAUCCGGCUGGUCAAGUGUGACUCGUACCCCUGUCCCAACACGGUGGACUGCUUCGUGUCGAGGCCCACAGAGAAGACUGUCUUCACCGUGUUCAUGCUGGCGGCCUCGGGGGUCUGUAUUCUGCUCAACAUAGCGGAGGUGGUCUUCCUGGCGGGGAAGGCCUGCAGUAAGCACCUGCACACUGCUGGAGACUCGACUUUGGGGGCUUGGAUCCAACAAAAACUCUGCUCGUACUAACAGAAACACACAGAUUCCACACCGGCUCAGAGGGACAUCAAGGUGACAUUAGACAACAAACAUGGUCUCACAGGAAUCCGUGAAAUAGCCACGGAUUUGCUUAACUCAAAAUCCGAGGAAUAGCCACGGAAUCAAGGCAAGGCAAGGCAAGUUUAUUUGUAUAGCACAAUUCAACACAAGGUAAUUCAAAGUGCUUUACAUACACAUUAAAAACAGCAAGACACAAUUGAAAACAGUAAAAACAGUCAAUUAAAACAGGGAAAUAGAAAUAAAAGUAUAAAUAGGAUAAAAUAAGAUGCAGCAGGAUAAAAAAAAGAUAAAAUAAUAAAAAGCACAAGUCAAACAUUGUGUAGUUAAAAAGUAAGGGCAGUAGAGUAGAGCAGAUAAGUGUUAAAGUUAUAUCACCAUUAACAUGAAUUUAGGAUGCACAUUGCUAACCAAGUUCUCUAGCUAUUGUUACCAAUAUCUGACCUGGCCUUUCAGCCAAAUAUGGUCACUUCUGCCUCCAAAAAAACUAAAAUGGUACUGGCCAAAAUGGUGACUACACCCUCAUCUUCUACAGUCUUUGA
RNA transcript from Centropristis striata (black sea bass), 1620 nucleotides. It is a transcript of the gene named gap junction beta-1 protein-like, with no coding region annotated. NCBI's taxonomy places the organism in Eukaryota, Metazoa, Chordata, Actinopteri, Perciformes, Serranidae. The record is from RefSeq and is a predicted model, not a curated record. The transcript has 3 exons.